Molecule: long non-coding RNA, 3935 nt
Organism: Lagopus leucura (white-tailed ptarmigan)
Lineage: Eukaryota; Metazoa; Chordata; Aves; Galliformes; Phasianidae
Exons: 3
Source: RefSeq, a predicted model, not a curated record
GAACCCGAAGCCUGCCCGCGGGGCUCCUGGUAACGCCGGAGCGGUCGGGCUGUGCUGCGGGGUGGUGUGGGUUUAACCGCAGCGGCGUGGGCUGCAGACCGCGGUCUCCUCCCUCGAGGCAGCAGGAUAAGAUAAAUCGUGGUACUCCUGCAGCCCGUUUGGUUUAUCUGAUCCCCGGGGUAUGUGGGGCCGGCUGACCCCCUCUGCUAAACCCACCUUUGCAGCCUGUGAUUGUCUCCGUUGGGAAGCAGCGGCUCUGCAGCUGGGCACAGCCUGCUGUGUGGUGGCAGAGGAUCACAGAAUCACCCGGGAUGGGUGGGAUGGAGGGCCUCUCAUCAUCCCACCUGGCCCGGGCUGCUCUGCGCAGAAAGAAGAGAUGGGGAAAGAAUCUGCACCCAGCGUGCCCUGUCAGUGCUGUGCCUCGAGGUCACACCAUCGAGUUUGUGAUGGUGACAAGCCAGAGCCCAAAAAGAGCAAGCAACAGACAGAGUUUUUCUCCGGAACCUGAGCCCAUGACACUCUUGUUCAUUUCUAAUCGUCACAAAUGGCUGGAGGUAUCAAUGGGCUCCAGCCAGAGCAAUAGGUGAAGGGGCUGAAGGACAGGUGGCCUUCCAAGCAGGAAGAUGCCAGCUGCUCCCUCACAGCAGUCUGAUUCUCUAUUGGAACACAGCCCCACAGACAUCUCAUCAGUGCUCUUCUGCUGCUGGGAGAGAAACCAGCAGCCACCCAGCAUCAGUUAGUCUGCUCCAGCAGAGGCUAAGCGGGUGUCAAUUCAGUCAUAAAUGCCAUGUUGCUCUAAGCACAUACACCAAAGAUGCUGAAGCCAAAGGCCUUUCCUACCAUGCCAAAUGAACAGCUCAUGUAAUAAAUGGGCAGUCUUCAGAUUAAUUGUUCUCAGUAUGAACAAACAGAAAUGCAAUUUAAUUCAGCAUCAAAUGGUUGAGGUCUGCUGUUUAUCCUCCACUGCUAGGAAACUGGACCAGAGAACACAGAUGAGGCAGAUCACAGUGCUAUAGUAAUAAUUCCUUUCAGAGUUUAUUUCUGCCUUGUUUUUCCACUAUUCUCUUUUUUUAAAGGACAUGCACUUGGAGGAAAUAGCCCUUAGUCUGCAAAGAAGGAAGAGAGAACAUUGGGCUGAGGAGUUCCUCUUCUCACACCAAAAUGACUGGAGGUCACACCAGAUGCUUGCCCAGCAUCAGCUGGAUGGGAGAUGUCUGGAUACACAAUUUCAUCCUAAGAGUAAACUGUCAAGCUUGUACCAGAAGCUGAUGGAGGAUGCAGAAGUUGGCUUUCAGAUGACAAGGCUUUUCAGGUAACACAAUUGCCUGCCUUCCACACAAGACUGUAGGGGCUGAAGCAUGGACCAAAUGCCAGGCUAGCGAGAGACCCUCACUUCAAUGCUGAGCAUCAAGAAGAGUGGGCCAGUGCCCCAAAGAAGGACUCAGACCACUGCACAUGGGGGAAAAACACCAGAAUCUCACAAGUUUUGCAGCUCUUCCUACCAGCUGUUAAGGACAGACAAGGGACCAGUACCACCUUCAAAAGGGUACAAGAUGCUCCUUUGGCAGUUAAAGAAAACCAGCAAAUGCAGAUCCAAACUACAGUUAUGCCGCGGAUCUUACAUUUUCCAAAGUGACUGUCUCCUUCAGGCAACAUCAAGGACUCAUCUGACAAUACAAGCAGCACUCUUUGUCUGAAUUCUCAUCUUAAAGCACAUGACUUCCUUUUUUAAAUUAAGUUGCUAACUUAAUAACAGCCCUGUCUUUUAGAGUGCCAAUUUAAUGCCUGUAGAUAAAAUAUGAUGCAGUUAUUAAAGAGCAGGUAGCAGCACACCCCAUCAUCUCCCUGAGUGAAGUGUGGGCCAAUCCAUCACAACAUAAGACGUUGUGUUCCAGCUGGUGAAAGGGAGUAGCAGAUGGGGAUGGGGGAGUGCAUUUCCAAACACAGAGCUAGUCUGCGGUGGUGCAAUUUAUCUGGGACAUACAAUUAGUUCAGGAAAAGCAGAGAGGUUUGAAUAAAUGAAAUGAAUUUCGUAUAAGUGGGCCUUGUCUGCAUGCAGAAAUCUUGUUGGUAUAACUCUAGCAAAAUUGUACAGAUCUGGGUGUGAAGCCCUAUCUAGAUACUUUCACUUGGUUUCAGGGUGACUGAAUUACCAACGUCAUCCAUACUCAGCCAAAGAACCUUUUGCAUAAGCUUAACCUUUGCAACAUAUUCCUGUACCUGAUACUGUCACAGCUUUAUUCUCUAGUAUGUUAACAUAAGAUUGCUGUUUCUUCUGAGCAAGUUCCACUUAGUUUUUCAGAUUCAUGCAUCCCCUGGGCCUCCCUGAAUCUGCUGAGCCCACAGAGAAAUGCAUUUUAGUUCAGUGAAUUCAUUGAGAUCCUCACUGCAUCAUGAAGACAGAAACCUGAGGUGAGUCAGCAUUCAGAACACAGCAAAACAUUCUUAACAGGUACCUUUAAAGUAAAGAGACAGAAGAGAUAUCUGAAAUGCCCCAAAAGUGAUAUCUGUUCAUCUGACACAAACCAGGAUCGAGUCUGUGAAAUCCCAACUCCACCAUCCAUAGAGGUGAAGGAAUCAAAACAAGAGCUGAGUCCUCAUGUGAAAAUAUUGCAGUUCACUCAUUUUACCUCAGUUUUCUUGGUAUAUUUUCCAGAUAUGUGUGUAUGUGUUUCUGAUUUUAUAUCUAUUACAUAACUUUCAUGAAUUACUUGAUUCCAUCAGGACUGCUGUAGCCCAGAUAGUUCUGUAGAUGUUGUAUCUAUCUCGAUGGUGUCCAAGAGUACAGUAAAUGAUAUGCAGCAGCAUGCAAGGACUCAGAGUGCCUGAGAUUAAAAAACGAAGAAAUUUCAGUUUAUCAUUUUGUCUUUUCCACAGGUAAAGCUGCCAUAGGCCUUUACGGCUGCUACAGGCCGUAAUCCUCCUUGUCUGAAGCCAAAUAACACAGAGAAUCAAAAUGCCUUUGCGAGCUUUGAAAUGAAACAGUAAGAAGUCUAGAGAAGAUAAUUCCAUUACAAUCUUUAUAGUUGGGCACAUCCAGUAUAGUCAAUGAAGGAGAUAGACAGUAAUCUCAACCAUAAUUGCUUUUGAAAAGAUUUGUUUAUCUAUUCUUUCCUUAGUCGAAUAUCCAGGCAACAGAAUCACUCAAAAAAUCAGAAUUCUGCUGUAUUUCUUACCCUUCCCCCCAGCAAUUUCUUCACGCAUACUGUUAUGUUAUCUUACAGUUCUCAUCUCAUCUCAUCUCAUUUAGUGGGAGCUAUUGGUAAUAGAUGAACUGUUGGACUGGAUGAUCUUUUAGGUCUUUUCCAACCUUGGUGAUUCUAUGAUUCUAUCUGGCCGUUUCUUGGUGCCCUAAAGAGUACUAGCUAAAUGACAGAUCUCCAGAAAAGUAAGAGCCUUGUUACUUUUUGCUUUACUUUCCCUCCCUCCUGAAAACCACUAUGGCCAAAACUGGAGCAGGGAAGCUGGGUAUCAGAAACACAUGCUUUGCAUUGGUGAGAGUGAAGAAGGGCUGUGUGAGCUGUGUGGCACUGCACCCAGCCAGUCUCUGUGCUUGGUGGAGAGGCUUGAUUGCAAGGGCUGCAAAUUUAGAACAAGGGACAAGAGGGCACUGUCUCCUCCUGAGGCUGGUCUGUCAACCCUAGCAGAUGAAUAAAGAUCAGUGUCACAUAAAUAUUUCAGGUCUUCUUUGUUUGUUUUGGGUGUUGAGGCGAUCAGUGCUGUCAUUGGUUGACUAUUAAAGUUAUAUCUGAACAAGGAGAAGUUAUUAAACAGUCCCAAGAAAAGUUAACAGCAAUUGAAAUAUCUCCUUCAGAGAAUUUACUGAAGCAACACAGCAGAAGUUGAAUAAUUCCUCCCUUGGAUUGUCUCUAGCUGGCUUCAAGUGGCCAAGUUCACUUAACACUGACCAACAAGGAAUUGAUCUCAUCAGUUUU